UUUUUAGGUAGAACCUGCUCUUACCCCCAGCUGUGUGCCUGCACUCUUGGCAGUAGACGCGAUAAAACUAAUCACAGACAUGAAACUUCAAGCCUGCAUAGGCCAAAAUGAAC
This is a long non-coding RNA of Nanorana parkeri, 113 nucleotides long. RefSeq lists it as uncharacterized. The transcript is spliced from 3 exons. NCBI's taxonomy places the organism in Eukaryota, Metazoa, Chordata, Amphibia, Anura, Dicroglossidae. The record is from RefSeq and is a predicted model, not a curated record.